CUUGCUCCAUAUUUGGAUGAAUCCGAGAAGGUAUGGCUAAAUAAAGCCACUGAGCCAAUAACUGCCUGAUGAUCUCUCUGGGAAAGGAUUAUUGAAGUAAUUUCAGUCCACAUGUCUUCUCUUUUAAUAAUGCCAUCUUUGCUUGUCGCGGUUCGAGCAUUUUAAAUGGUCGAGGAUUAUCACUUUCCUUUCCUCACCUCGUCGAUAUUUGGUUCUAAGUUCCAUCCAUCACUGUAUUCAACCCCAACUAAUAUUAUUAGUGAUAGUCAUUUUCUACCCAACGUAUAUACAUUGG
Molecule: unclassified non-coding RNA, 295 nt
Filed under: Hevea brasiliensis (rubber tree)
Lineage: Eukaryota; Viridiplantae; Streptophyta; Magnoliopsida; Malpighiales; Euphorbiaceae
Source: RNAcentral